AGAAAAAUUUGACUUCAGUUGAGUCCUCUGUUCAUAGUAUAUAGUGGAAGAAUUUUCUAAGUAAAAUAGUAUUCUCUUUUGUUUUCACUUAUUCUUAAGUUUCUGAAACCCAUUUACUAGAUAACGAAUAUAUUUGUUAGUUGUUUAAAAUGUUAUACCUCCAUUAAGAUCGUUUACCUUUGUUAGCAAGUCUAAAGUUCAAGGACUGUGUAAUUUCAGCUGCCAUCCAGUGAGAAUGGUAGGUGUUCUUUGGACAGAGGAAUCUUUUAAGUAGCCUUAAAUGCAUCAGGUAGAUGCACCUUCCCCAAAGCUAGUUCAUCUUGUUUCAAUCUAGACUGCUGUUAUCUACACAUCACACACAAAACUCUUCAGAACAUCAUCUGAGAGCAAAUGGACUUUGACUAGAAUCUACUCAUUCUCUCAGCCCUG
Molecule: long non-coding RNA, 429 nt
Filed under: Bos taurus (domestic cattle)
Lineage: Eukaryota; Metazoa; Chordata; Mammalia; Artiodactyla; Bovidae
Description: long non-coding RNA NONBTAT002685
Source: RNAcentral